This 457-nucleotide ribosomal RNA is filed under the name Neisseria mucosa. RNAcentral's name for it is "bacterial SSU rRNA". It matches the Rfam family "Bacterial small subunit ribosomal RNA", at positions 30 to 487 of the family's 1533-position model. The record is from RNAcentral. Lineage: Bacteria; Pseudomonadati; Pseudomonadota; Betaproteobacteria; Neisseriales; Neisseriaceae.
AUUGAACGCUGGCGGCAUGCCUUACACAUGCAAGUCGGACGGCAGCACAGAGAAGCUUGCUUCUUGGGUGGCGAGUGGCGAACGGGUGAGUAACAUAUCGGAACGUACCGAGCAGUGGGGGAUAACUAAUCGAAAGAUUAGCUAAUACCGCAUAUAUUCUGAGGAAGAAAGCAGGGGACCAUUUGGCCUUGCGCUGUUUGAGCGGCCGAUAUCUGAUUAGCUAGUUGGUGGGGUAAAGGCCUACCAAGGCGACGAUCAGUAGCGGGUCUGAGAGGAUGAUCCGCCACACUGGGACUGAGACACGGCCCAGACUCCUACGGGAGGCAGCAGUGGGGAAUUUUGGACAAUGGGCGCAAGCCUGAUCCAGCCAUGCCGCGUGUCUGAAGAAGGCCUUCGGGUUGUAAAGGACUUUUGUCAGGGAAGAAAAGGGCGGGGUUAAUACCCCUGUCUGAUGACG